RNAcentral lists this ribosomal RNA (439 nucleotides) under uncultured bacterium. RNAcentral's name for it is "bacterial SSU rRNA". It matches the Rfam family "Bacterial small subunit ribosomal RNA", at positions 338 to 795 of the family's 1533-position model. The record is from RNAcentral.
CCUACGGGAGGCACCAGUGGGGAAUAUUGCACAAUGGGCGAAAGCCUGAUGCAGCAACGCCGCGUGAGCGAUGAAGGCCUUCGGGUCGUAAAGCUCUGUCCUCAAGGAAGAUAAUGACGGUACUUGAGGAGGAAGCCCCGGCUAACUACGUACCAGCAGCCGCGGUAAUACGUAGGGGGCUAGCGUUAUCCGGAAUUACUGGGCGUAGAGGGUGCGUAGGUGGUUUCUUAAGUCAGAGGUGUAAGGCUACGGCUCAACCGUAGUAAGCCUUUGAAACUGGGAAACUUGAGUGCAGGAGAGGAGAGUGGAAUUCCUAGUGUAGCGGUGAAAUGCGUAGAUAUUAGGAGGAACACCAGUUGCGAAGGCGGCUCUCUGGACUGUAACUGACACUGAGGCACGAAAGCGUGGGGAGCAAACAGGAUUAGAUACCCGAGUAGUC